This 673-nucleotide long non-coding RNA is filed under the name Erythranthe guttata (spotted monkey flower). RNAcentral describes it as "long non-coding RNA (EGUT_LNC002217)". Lineage: Eukaryota; Viridiplantae; Streptophyta; Magnoliopsida; Lamiales; Phrymaceae. The record is from RNAcentral.
GCAAGUCCAUCAAACUUGUCUAUAUAUAUAAGCCCUCCACCAUAUUAUACGUAUAACUCCAAAACCUCUAUCUCUCUCUCUCUACACUCUCUCUCUACUCGAUCGUUAUAUAAGAUGGACCAUCAGAACGACGCCGUAUCAACCACAAAUUCUUGUUCAAAGAAACCAUAUGAUAAAAGUGGAAGCUUUGUUGACAACUUAAAGAAUCGGUUUGAUGGUUUUGUCAACACUCCCAUGAAAGACCACAAGGAUUGCUUCAAAUUGUCGUGGCACCGGGUAUUUUUAAUUAAUAUUAAUUUUCUAAAUUUUAUUUAUUUAUAAAUUAAUUUCUAUAUUUGAUAAUUAUACAAAUAUCUUACAAGCUAUUUUUGUGAAUUACGUAGAUGAUUGAUAGAUUCUCGACAAAAACGACUUCAGCCAACGAAGAAGUUCAAACUCCGGUGACGGUGACUGAUCUUCAGCCAGCUUCAAGGAACUAAGAUAGAUAUAUUGUGUUUUUCAUGAUUUAUUUGAUUUUGCAAUUAUAUAUUCAGUUAAUAUGAUACGUUGGUAGCUAGAAUUUUAAUUUGUUUUUUCUUUUUCAGAGCUACAAUAUUUUUUUUUUAUUUAAUAAAAGUUAGGUUUUAUUUCUGCUGAGAUUUUAUCCACCACUUGUAUCUAUUUGAUUAUUUUC